UGGGGAAUUUUGGACAAUGGGGGCAACCCUGAUCCAGCCAUGCCGCGUGUGUGAAGAAGGCCUUCGGGUUGUAAAGCACUUUCGGACGGAACGAAAUCGCACGGGUGAAUAUCCCGUGUGGAUGACGGUACUGUAAGAAGAAGCACCGGCUAACUACGUGCCAGCAGCCGCGGUAAUACGUAGGGUGCGAGCGUUAAUCGGAAUUACUGGGCGUAAAGCGUGCGCAGGCGGCUUCGCAAGUCAGACGUGAAAUCCCCGGGCUUAACCUGGGAAUGGCGUUUGAAACUACGGAGCUGGAGUGUGGCAGAGGGAGGUAGAAUUCCACGUGUAGCGGUGAAAUGCGUAGAUAUGUGGAGGAAUACCGAUGGCGAAGGCAGCCUCCUGGGCCAACACUGACGCUCAUGCACGAAAGCGUGGGGAGCAAACAGG
Molecule: ribosomal RNA, 429 nt
Filed under: uncultured bacterium
Lineage: Bacteria
Description: bacterial SSU rRNA
Rfam family: Bacterial small subunit ribosomal RNA
Source: RNAcentral